RNAcentral lists this ribosomal RNA (85 nucleotides) under Ochotona princeps (American pika). The record is from RNAcentral. Lineage: Eukaryota; Metazoa; Chordata; Mammalia; Lagomorpha; Ochotonidae.
GUCUACAGCCACACCACCCUGAACGCACCCAAGCUUGUCUGAUCUCGGAAGCUAAGCAAGGUUGGGCCUGGUUAGUGCUUGGAUG